RNAcentral lists this ribosomal RNA (662 nucleotides) under Hyphodontia arguta. Its description in RNAcentral is "eukaryotic LSU rRNA". The stretch from base 234 to 387 matches the Rfam family "5.8S ribosomal RNA". Lineage: Eukaryota; Fungi; Basidiomycota; Agaricomycetes; Hymenochaetales; Schizoporaceae. The record is from RNAcentral.
UCGCUGCCUGCGGAAGGAUCAUUAUCGAGUUCUUGAAGUGGGUCUUCGAGCUGGCGUUUUUCGCAAGUGCUCGGACCCCGCUCCAAUCCACUCAACACCUGUGCACUCUCGGAGGACCCGUCUGGGGGCCAUUGUCUAAUGGACCCCGUCGGCCUCCGUCUCAUCACAAACACACUAUGUAUUGUCUUGUAGAACGUGUUGAAGCCUUACGGGGCGUCUAACAAUGUUAAUACAACUUUCAACAACGGAUCUCUUGGCUCUCGCAUCGAUGAAGAACGCAGCGAAAUGCGAUAAGUAAUGUGAAUUGCAGAAUUCAGUGAAUCAUCGAAUCUUUGAACGCACCUUGCGCUCCUUGGUAUUCCGAGGAGCAUGCCUGUUUGAGUGUCAUGAAAUCUUCAACCUCGCCGGCUUUGUUGCUCGGUUUGUAGGCUUGGACUUGGGGAAUGUAAUGUGCGGGCCCUUUGGCGGGUCGGCUUCCCUUGAAUGCAUUAGUCGGAUGUUAGUCUCCGCCCGAACGGUGUGAUAAACGUCAUUCACUGAUCGGCGGUGGCGGUGAUUCGGCUUCUAAUGGUCGCCUUCGCGUGACAGAUCUCAUUGACUCAUCUGACCUCAAAUCAGGUAGGACUACCCGCUGAACUUAAGCAUAUCAAUAAGGCGGAGGA